RNAcentral lists this ribosomal RNA (2902 nucleotides) under human gut metagenome. RNAcentral's name for it is "bacterial LSU rRNA". It matches the Rfam family "Bacterial large subunit ribosomal RNA". The record is from RNAcentral.
UUAAGCGACUAAGCGUACACGGUGGAUGCCCUGGCAGUCAGAGGCGAUGAAGGACGUGCUAAUCUGCGAUAAGCGUCGGUGAGGUGAUAUGAACCGUUAUAACCGGCGAUUUCCGAAUGGGGAAACCCAGUGUGUUUCGACACACUAUCAUUAACUGAAUCCAUAGGUUAAUGAGGCGAACCGGGGGAACUGAAACAUCUAAGUACCCCGAGGAAAAGAAAUCAACCGAGAUUCCCCCAGUAGCGGCGAGCGAACGGGGAGGAGCCCAGAGCCUGAAUCAGUGUGUGUGUUAGUGGAAGCGUCUGGAAAGGCGCGCGAUACAGGGUGACAGCCCCGUACACAAAAAUGCACAUAUUGUGAGCUCGAUGAGUAGGGCGGGACACGUGGUAUCCUGUCUGAAUAUGGGGGGACCAUCCUCCAAGGCUAAAUACUCCUGACUGACCGAUAGUGAACCAGUACCGUGAGGGAAAGGCGAAAAGAACCCCGGCGAGGGGAGUGAAAAAGAACCUGAAACCGUGUACGUACAAGCAGUGGGAGCCUCUUAAUGGGGUGACUGCGUACCUUUUGUAUAAUGGGUCAGCGACUUAUAUUCUGUAGCAAGGUUAACCGAAUAGGGGAGCCGAAGGGAAACCGAGUCUUAACUGGGCGUUAAGUUGCAGGGUAUAGACCCGAAACCCGGUGAUCUAGCCAUGGGCAGGUUGAAGGUUGGGUAACACUAACUGGAGGACCGAACCGACUAAUGUUGAAAAAUUAGCGGAUGACUUGUGGCUGGGGGUGAAAGGCCAAUCAAACCGGGAGAUAGCUGGUUCUCCCCGAAAGCUAUUUAGGUAGCGCCUCGUGAAUUCAUCUCCGGGGGUAGAGCACUGUUUCGGCAAGGGGGUCAUCCCGACUUACCAACCCGAUGCAAACUGCGAAUACCGGAGAAUGUUAUCACGGGAGACACACGGCGGGUGCUAACGUCCGUCGUGAAGAGGGAAACAACCCAGACCGCCAGCUAAGGUCCCAAAGUCAUGGUUAAGUGGGAAACGAUGUGGGAAGGCCCAGACAGCCAGGAUGUUGGCUUAGAAGCAGCCAUCAUUUAAAGAAAGCGUAAUAGCUCACUGGUCGAGUCGGCCUGCGCGGAAGAUGUAACGGGGCUAAACCAUGCACCGAAGCUGCGGCAGCGACACUAUGUGUUGUUGGGUAGGGGAGCGUUCUGUAAGCCUGUGAAGGUGGCCUGUGAGGGUUGCUGGAGGUAUCAGAAGUGCGAAUGCUGACAUAAGUAACGAUAAAGCGGGUGAAAAGCCCGCUCGCCGGAAGACCAAGGGUUCCUGUCCAACGUUAAUCGGGGCAGGGUGAGUCGACCCCUAAGGCGAGGCCGAAAGGCGUAGUCGAUGGGAAACAGGUUAAUAUUCCUGUACUUGGUGUUACUGCGAAGGGGGGACGGAGAAGGCUAUGUUGGCCGGGCGACGGUUGUCCCGGUUUAAGCGUGUAGGCUGGUUUUCCAGGCAAAUCCGGAAAACCAAGGCUGAGGCGUGAUGACGAAGCACUACGGUGCUGAAGCGACAAAUGCCCUGCUUCCAGGAAAAGCCUCUAAGCAUCAGGUAACAUCAAAUCGUACCCCAAACCGACACAGGUGGUCAGGUAGAGAAUACCAAGGCGCUUGAGAGAACUCGGGUGAAGGAACUAGGCAAAAUGGUGCCGUAACUUCGGGAGAAGGCACGCUGAUAUGUAGGUGAAGCGACUUGCUCGUGGAGCUGAAAUCAGUCGAAGAUACCAGCUGGCUGCAACUGUUUAUUAAAAACACAGCACUGUGCAAACACGAAAGUGGACGUAUACGGUGUGACGCCUGCCCGGUGCCGGAAGGUUAAUUGAUGGGGUUAGCGGUAACGCGAAGCUCUUGAUCGAAGCCCCGGUAAACGGCGGCCGUAACUAUAACGGUCCUAAGGUAGCGAAAUUCCUUGUCGGGUAAGUUCCGACCUGCACGAAUGGCGUAAUGAUGGCCAGGCUGUCUCCACCCGAGACUCAGUGAAAUUGAACUCGCUGUGAAGAUGCAGUGUACCCGCGGCAAGACGGAAAGACCCCGUGAACCUUUACUAUAGCUUGACACUGAACAUUGAGCCUUGAUGUGUAGGAUAGGUGGGAGGCUUUGAAGUGUGGACGCCAGUCUGCAUGGAGCCGACCUUGAAAUACCACCCUUUAAUGUUUGAUGUUCUAACGUUGGCCCGUAAUCCGGGUUGCGGACAGUGUCUGGUGGGUAGUUUGACUGGGGCGGUCUCCUCCUAAAGAGUAACGGAGGAGCACGAAGGUUGGCUAAUCCUGGUCGGACAUCAGGAGGUUAGUGCAAUGGCAUAAGCCAGCUUGACUGCGAGCGUGACGGCGCGAGCAGGUGCGAAAGCAGGUCAUAGUGAUCCGGUGGUUCUGAAUGGAAGGGCCAUCGCUCAACGGAUAAAAGGUACUCCGGGGAUAACAGGCUGAUACCGCCCAAGAGUUCAUAUCGACGGCGGUGUUUGGCACCUCGAUGUCGGCUCAUCACAUCCUGGGGCUGAAGUAGGUCCCAAGGGUAUGGCUGUUCGCCAUUUAAAGUGGUACGCGAGCUGGGUUUAGAACGUCGUGAGACAGUUCGGUCCCUAUCUGCCGUGGGCGCUGGAGAACUGAGGGGGGCUGCUCCUAGUACGAGAGGACCGGAGUGGACGCAUCACUGGUGUUCGGGUUGUCAUGCCAAUGGCACUGCCCGGUAGCUAAAUGCGGAAGAGAUAAGUGCUGAAAGCAUCUAAGCACGAAACUUGCCCCGAGAUGAGUUCUCCCUGAGACUUAGAGUCUCCUGAAGGAACGUUGAAGACGACGACGUUGAUAGGCCGGGUGUGUAAGCGCAGCGAUGCGUUGAGCUAACCGGUACUAAUGAACCGUGAGGCUUAACCUU